RNAcentral lists this ribosomal RNA (253 nucleotides) under uncultured bacterium. RNAcentral's name for it is "partial 16S ribosomal RNA". It matches the Rfam family "Bacterial small subunit ribosomal RNA", at positions 524 to 776 of the family's 1533-position model. The record is from RNAcentral.
UACGAAGGGGGCUAGCGUUGCUCGGAAUCACUGGGCGUAAAGCGCACGUAGGCGGCUUUUUAAGUCAGGGGUGAAAUCCUGGAGCUCAACUCCAGAACUGCCUUUGAUACUGAGAAGCUCGAGUCCGGGAGAGGUGAGUGGAACUGCGAGUGUAGAGGUGAAAUUCGUAGAUAUUCGGAAGAACACCAGUGGCGAAGGCGACACACUGGCCCGUUACUGACGCUGAGGUGCGAAAGCGUGGGGAGCAAACGGG